AAUUGUGAUGCUAUGGAUGCCCACCUGAGACAUUUGAGUUUUGAAGAUUGACUAAAAAUGAAAUUCAAGAAUGAACGAAGGUUGCAUGGCUUCACAUGAUCAUCUGAUACUUUAAAAACAAUGCCAAGCAAUUGUUAUAAGGUCAAGUUACCUUAAAAGAAUUUUUCUGUGCGGGCAAUAUAAACCAGGAAACAAUAUCUAUAGACAGGAAAGUUUCUUUAGCCCAAGAACAUAAACAUGAAGGACAAAAUCCUCUUCAAAAUCCAUUUACAAUACUUUGCAAAAUUUCAGUUUAAGCAUUAUGCAUAAGAAAAAUGAAGAGCUAGUGGAUUACUUGUUACCAAGCAUGCCAUGAA
Molecule: unclassified non-coding RNA, 356 nt
Filed under: Hevea brasiliensis (rubber tree)
Lineage: Eukaryota; Viridiplantae; Streptophyta; Magnoliopsida; Malpighiales; Euphorbiaceae
Source: RNAcentral